This 835-nucleotide ribosomal RNA is filed under the name Chaetocapnodium siamensis. Its description in RNAcentral is "partial large subunit ribosomal RNA". It matches the Rfam family "Eukaryotic large subunit ribosomal RNA", at positions 75 to 935 of the family's 3401-position model. Lineage: Eukaryota; Fungi; Ascomycota; Dothideomycetes; Capnodiales; Capnodiaceae. The record is from RNAcentral.
UUGCCCUAGUAACGGCGAGUGAAGCGGCAACAGCUCAGAUUUGAAAUCUGGCGCCUUCGGCGUCCGAGUUGUAAUCUGUAGAGGAUGCUAUUGGGUAGCCACCGGUCUAAGUCCCCUGGAACGGGGCGUCGCAGAGGGUGAGAAUCCCGUAUGUGACCGGAAGGGCGCCCUCCACAUAGCUCCUUCGACGAGUCGAGUUGUUUGGGAAUGCAGCUCUAAAUGGGAGGUAAAUUCCUUCUAAAGCUAAAUACCGGCCAGAGACCGAUAGCGCACAAGUAGAGUGAUCGAAAGAUGAAAAGCACUUUGGAAAGAGAGUUAAAAAGCACGUGAAAUUGUUGAAAGGGAAGCGCUUGCAACCAGACUUGUUGGCGGUGUUCCGCCGGUCUUCUGACCGGUGUACUCACCGUCUGCAGGCCAGCAUCAUCUGGGGCCGCCGGAUAAAAGCGGGGGGAAUGUGGCUCCUCCGGGAGUGUUAUAGCCCCUCGUGCAAUACGGCGUGCCUCGGGUGAGGUCCGCGCUUCGGCUAGGAUGCUGGCGUAAUGGUCGUAAGCGGCCCGUCUUGAAACACGGACCAAGGAGUCUAACAUCUAUGCGAGUGUUCGGGUGUCAAACCCCUACGCGUAAUGAAAGUGAACGGAGGUGGGAGCCUUAGGGUGCACCAUCGACCGAUCCUGAUGUCUUCGGAUGGAUUUGAGUAAGAGCAUAGCUGUUGGGACCCGAAAGAUGGUGAACUAUGCCUGGAUAGGGUGAAGCCAGAGGAAACUCUGGUGGAGGCUCGCAGCGGUUCUGACGUGCAAAUCGAUCGUCAAAUUUGGGUAUAGGGCGAAAGACUAAU